RNAcentral lists this long non-coding RNA (947 nucleotides) under Nicotiana tabacum (common tobacco). RNAcentral's name for it is "long non-coding RNA (NTAB_LNC008002)". Lineage: Eukaryota; Viridiplantae; Streptophyta; Magnoliopsida; Solanales; Solanaceae. The record is from RNAcentral.
CCAAAUUCAACCUCUGCUAAAGAGAAAAAAGUCACAGGAUUAGACAAACACUCAAGAAUUCACGUUCACAAACUAGACGAGUCCAAACCAAAACCAAGACUCAAUACUUAUGAACUAUCUAGAUAAUUUUUAGAAUUUUAGAUCCUUUUUUAAUCCCCGUGGCUCUUAUUAUACUCCAAUCACACGAAAUUGACAACAAAAAGAAUACAAAUGAACAUGAAAUAUAGCUCUCCGAUUAACAAAAUAUCAGCAGUUACAACCUUGAAUCGAGCGAGUCCGGAACAAAGAAAUUCAGCAGGAUCUUCAAACAGAGACCAUGAGCCACGAUCCGAAACACAACAACGACUCCAAAAAUUCGAACACCACCAGAGUUCAAUCACACUCCAUGCUUAAAUAAAAAAUUGGCAUUCAAGAGAAGACAAUGAACUAUUUUUUGUGUUUUUUUAAUUUUUCUGACUUUUGAAAUAAGAACAAGAACAAGAAAGAGCUAACUUUUUUUUCAAUAAUCUCUUCUCUAUGGAAUCGAAUAGAAAACAAAAGGAAAAAUCCGAAAGCUAAAAACCAACCCUAAUCUUUUAUCUCCCAGAAUUUCUCCAAAGACGCUCCCCCUUGGUUUGAAAACGAGCCCCAAAUAUAUAGAAACUCCGUGCUUACUCUCCAAGCCAACCAAUACGAGAAAUUCUUGAUUUUUACUCUUUUUCGACUAACUUCGUAUAAAAUGGAAGGAUAUGAUUUUAGGAAUUCAAAUCCUACGGCUCCUAUUCUUUCCAAAAUUCGUCUAAUAGAUGGAAGAAAAUCGCUUGAGGGAAUUAGAAUAUUCUCUGUUGUCAGAGUUUGUUAUGGUUGGGUGACAUGGAGGAUGAGGCGAGGGGGACCAUGUGGGCGGGACUGAGGUGGAGUUAGCGUGGCUGGGGAGUGUUGCUACAGCAGUGAAUCUUAGAGAUUGG